Molecule: ribosomal RNA, 134 nt
Filed under: Microcebus murinus (gray mouse lemur)
Lineage: Eukaryota; Metazoa; Chordata; Mammalia; Primates; Cheirogaleidae
Source: RNAcentral
GUCCACGGCCAUACCACCCUGAACGUGCCCAAUCUCGUCUGAUCUCAAAAGCUAAGCAGGGUCCGGCCUGGUUAGUAUUUGGAUGGGAGUAAUAGUGUGCAUCACCCCCAUUUUAGACGAGGAAACUGAGGCAC